CCUACGGGUGGCAGCAGUGGGGAAUAUUGCACAAUGGGGGAAACCCUGAUGCAGCGACGCCGCGUGAGUGAAGAAGGAAUUCGUUAUGUAAAGCUCUAUCAGCAGGGAAGAAAAUGAUGGUACCUGAGUAAGAAGCCCCGGCGAACGACGUGCCAGCAGCCGCGGUAAUACGUAGGGGGCAAGCGUUAUCCGGAUUUACUGGGUGUAAAGGGAGCGUAGACGGCAGGGCAAGUCUGGAGUGAAAGGCGGGGCUCAACUCCGGGACUGCUUUGGAAACGGUUGAACUAGAUUGCAGGAGCGGUCAGUGGAAUUCCUCUUGUAGCGGUGACCUGCGUAGCUAUUAGGCGG
RNAcentral lists this ribosomal RNA (348 nucleotides) under uncultured bacterium. RNAcentral describes it as "partial 16S ribosomal RNA". It matches the Rfam family "Bacterial small subunit ribosomal RNA", at positions 338 to 704 of the family's 1533-position model. The record is from RNAcentral.